This 76-nucleotide transfer RNA is filed under the name Calditrichota bacterium. RNAcentral describes it as "Calditrichaeota bacterium tRNA-Arg". It matches the Rfam family "tRNA". From Rfam's summary of the family: Transfer RNA (tRNA) molecules are approximately 80 nucleotides in length. Their secondary structure includes four short double-helical elements and three loops (D, anti-codon, and T loops). Lineage: Bacteria; Pseudomonadati; Calditrichota. The record is from RNAcentral.
GCUCCCUUAGCUCAACGGAUAGAGCAGCGGCCUUCUAAGCCGUUGGUUGGAGGUUCGAGUCCUCCAGGGAGCGCGA